RNAcentral lists this long non-coding RNA (1306 nucleotides) under Brassica napus (rape). RNAcentral's name for it is "long non-coding RNA (BNAP_LNC026621)". Lineage: Eukaryota; Viridiplantae; Streptophyta; Magnoliopsida; Brassicales; Brassicaceae. The record is from RNAcentral.
CACAUAGAUUUUGAGAAAAAUUCAAAAAAUUUGAGAAUACUAUUUUAAUGCAUAGUUGAAUCAUAUAAUAACAUAUGAUGAAUUUCAAAGAGGUUUGGAACCUUUGUUGUCUCCGUUUCUCUAGGGAAUAGCAAUUUUAUAGUGGUUAGUCUAAUGAUUUAUGGAGUAUUUGCAGUUUUGCUAAAUUAAUGGAUAAAAAAUUAGAACGAUGUCCAAGUACCAUGAAAAGAAGUUUAUCAUACAUUAAUACAACGGUAAAAUGUGGUUUUAAAUUUUAAAACAAAUUUAAAGAAUAUAGGCUUCAUAUAUAGAGCAUUUACCGAAAACUCACUAUUUUCGUAGGGGUUAACACAUAGAUUUUGAAAAAAAAUUAAAAAAAUUGAAAAUACUGUUUUAAUACAUAUUUGAAUCAUAUAAUUGAAUAUGAUGAAGUUCAAAGAGGUUUGGAACCUUUGUUGUCUCCGUUUCUCUAGGGAAUAGCAAUUUUAUAGUGGUUAGUCCAAUGAUUUAGGGAGUAUUUGCAGUUUUGCUAAAUUAAUGGAUAAAAAAUUAGAACAAUGUCCAAGUACCAUGAAAUUAAGUUUAUCAUACAUUAAUACAAAGGUAUAAUGUGGUUUUAAAUUUUAAAACAAAUUUAAACAUUAUAGGCUUCAUAUAUAGAGCAUUUACCGAAAACUCACUAUUUUCGUAGAGGUUAACACAUAGAUUAAUGUGGUUAUAAAUUUUAAAACGAAUUAAAAGAUUAUAAGCUUCAUAUAUAGACCAUUUACCGAAAACUCACUAUUUUCGUAAGGGGGUACACAUAGAUUUUGAGAAAAAUUCAAAAAAUUUGAGAAUACUAUUUUAAUGCAUAGUUGAAUCAUAUAAUAACAUAUGAUGAAUUUCAAAGAGGUUUGGAACCUUUGUUGUCUCCGUUUCUCUAGGGAAUAGCAAUUUUAUAGUGGUUAGUCCAAUGAUUUAGGGAGUAUUUGCAGUUUUGCUAAAUUAAUGGAUAAAAAAUUAGAACGAUGUCCAAGUCCAUGAAAAGAAGUUUAUCAUAAAUUAAUACAAAGGUAUAAUGUGGUUUUAAAUUUUAAAACAAAUUUAAAGAUUAUAGGCUUCAUAUAUAGAUCAUUUACCGAAAACUCACUAUUUUCGUAGGGGUUAACACAUAGAUUUUGAAAAAAAAAAAAAAAUUGAAAAUACUGUUUUAUUGCAUAUUUGAAUCAUGUAAUUAAAUAUGAUGAAGUUCAAAGAGGUUUGGAACCUUUGUUGUCUCCGUUUCUCAAGGGAAUAGCAAUUUUAUAGUGGUUAGUCUAAUGAUUUA